UGCGAAACGAAAAUCGGAUCGGCUUAAGCAGCUCCGAUUGCUCACUCAAUGGAUUAUGCGUCACGUAUCAUCAAUCCUCCCAAGAAACCAAGUAGUAAGAGAUUUAUGAUCACCCUGGAAUCAUUUGUGAUCUAUGGGGUCACCGGCGUUGAUUGAGAUGUAAUUUGAAGGAUGUUUCCAUCUUAUUACGGCGUGAGCAAGCUUCAACAAUCCGCUACUUUUCCACCACUAACUGGGCUAUUAUAAACAGACAAGGUAGUGUUAUCCUCCUCCUCUAUUGGAACAUUUUUGUCCAAUUUUUAGUGCUUGUGAGGCUCUCUGUCUCUGCUUGGCGCUUCAGCUUGUUAUCCUCCUCCUCUAUUGGAACAUUUUUGUCCACUAACUGGGCUCUCUGUCCGUCACCAAGUUUCACGAGGAUCAAGGAUUUUGAAACCUCUUUGACUGUAUAAUUAUGACAAGUCACAGCCUCACGUUUGGCAUUCUCAAAGCAAACUAUCCCUCACUAUUAUUCAUCUGUUGACAAACUUAUGGGUCUGAGGAGUCAGCUCAAUUCAUUCCGAGAGGCUUCUGGUGGAAAACGGAUACCUGUCAAUGAUCUUGUUGUUAAGGCGUUUCAGGCUGCGAGCUGCAAUAGUUCAUGGACUGAUGAUUACAUCCGCCAGUUUCAAAACGCAGAGAGAAAAUGGGCUCUAUGUUCCUGUGGUGAAGGACGCAGAAAGGUCUGUCUACAAUUGGAGAAGAAGUUCGGUUAUUGGCUCAAAUGGCAAAAGAGAACAGCAGUUUACAGUCUCUAAAUUGGCUUGGACCUUUUGGAAUCAAGCAAUUCUGUGCAGUGGUUUAUCCCCCUCAAGCAGCCAUUCUAGCAGUUGGAUCUGCAGCUGAAAAGAGAGUUGUCCGUGGCAACUGUGACCAUCGCGUGGUAGACAGUGCCAUUGGAGCUGAAUGGUUGAAAACAUUCAAGGGGAUAUAUCAUCGAGCACCCUGAAUCUAUGUUGCGCUAAUCAGACAAAGAAUCAUACACUGACAAAACACACAUUAAAGCUCAUAAAGAGUCUCUGAAUCUGUCAUUUCUCACUUUGGAUUUUUUACUUUAAAUCUCUGUAUUUUUUUGGGAGAGUUAAAACAGAUUUUAUUUCGUUAAUUUAAACUCCAUUAUUUAUUUUGUUAA
Brassica oleracea var. oleracea is the source of this 1168-nucleotide long non-coding RNA. RefSeq lists it as uncharacterized. The record is from RefSeq and is a predicted model, not a curated record. The transcript has 8 exons. NCBI's taxonomy places the organism in Eukaryota, Viridiplantae, Streptophyta, Magnoliopsida, Brassicales, Brassicaceae.